RNAcentral lists this long non-coding RNA (4072 nucleotides) under Mus musculus (house mouse). RNAcentral's name for it is "predicted gene, 50322". The record is from RNAcentral. Lineage: Eukaryota; Metazoa; Chordata; Mammalia; Rodentia; Muridae.
UCAAAAAUUGUAAAGCAUUCUAUACAAGUAAAAGACCAUAGGGCUUUAUUUUAUUUUUUAUUUUAUUUUAUUUUAUUUUGUUUUAUUUUAUUUUAUUUUUUAAAAAGCUCAAACAAAGCAAUGUGAGAUUAAAAAAAAUGAAAAGGUAUCCCGUCAAAUACCUUUGAGUUCCUUUUUUAUGUUGGCCGUACCUGGACAUGGAGUCUGCCCUAAAUUGUACCCAGUAAGACUUGGGGAAACUAAUUUUUGCUUUGUGAGUUGCUGAUAAUUGGAUACAGCUUCUUGAGGAUGGGAGCUCAUGUCUACGCCCCUCUCCUAUUAGUGCUGGGACCCCUACCUGGUUUGGAUCUUUGAAGGCCCAAUUCAUACUGCUACUAUCUCUGAGUUCAUUUGUGUGGCAGUCCGGUUGUGAUUGGAAGACACUGUUUUCUUGGUGAUUUUCAUCCUCUCUUCCUCUUACCUUUCUACCUCCUCUUCUGUAUAGCUCCCUGAAUCCUGAGGGGAGGUCUUUGAUGAAGAAAUACCAUUCAGGACUAAAUGUCCCAGGGCCUCUCAUUCUGCACAUUGUCCAACUGUGGCUGUCCCCAUUACUUCCCAUCUACUGCAGAGGGAGACUUAUUUGAUGAUAGCUGGUUUAAACUGAUCUGUGGGUAUAGCAGAAUGUCAUCAAGAGUUAUUUUAUGUUGCUUUAGCAACACAACAGUAUUCAGUUUUUUCCUAGGUCCAUCUAGCCUCAGAUUUUUGACCAGCCAAGCAUGUUGGAGACAGGUUCCAUCUUGGAGUGGGCCUUAAUCUACUCAUAAUGGUUACUCUAACAAAAUUUGUGCCACUACUGCACUAGCAUGUUAUGCAGGCACUUCAUCAUUGUAGACCAAAGGGUUUGUAGCAGGGUUAUGCUUAUCUUUUGUUGCUAGCAUACAGAGCCUCUUCCAGUACCAUGAGUCAGUAGGGGUGAUGUCUUUAAGUAGGCACCAGAUUGACUUUUGUGUUUAAUGAGAUAUAUAGUGUUGUCUAAGAGGAAUAAUUUUUAAAUGCAUUUUUUUUUAAGAGUUUGCAUUUGCUGUCAGUGAAUUUUUAGUAGCUGUCAGAACAAAAGAGCCCUUGAGCUGUCUGGAAGUCUUGUAAGACCAGCAUGACCCUGUUACUUUCUCUCAGAGCGUGGUGGUUAUUUUAUUUUAUUUUUUAGAAUUGUUUUAUUUGCAUUCCAGUCAUUAUACCCCUCUGUACCCCUCCCCACAGUUUCUCAUCAUUCUUCCUCCCCUUGCCUCAGAGAGGACCCCCCCAACCAGCCAUCCCCCCUUCCUCGAGGCCUCAAAUCUUUUGAUGAUUAAGUGUAUCUUCUCCCACUGAGGCCAGACCAGGCAGUCCUCUGGUACAUAUGUGCCAGGGGCCUUGGACCAACCUGUGGAUGCUCCUGGUUGGUGGCUCCGUAUCUGAGAGCUCCCUGGGAUCUGGGUUAGUUGAGACUGCUGGUCUUCCUAUGGGGUCGAUCUCCCUUUCAGCUUCCUCAAUCCUUCCCCUAAUUCAAGCAUAGAGGUCCCUGACUUCAGUCCAGUGGUCGGGUGUAAGUACCUGCUUCUGUCUCAGUGAGCUGCUGGUAGGGACUCUCAGAGGACAGCCAUGCCAAGCUCCUGUCAUAAACACAUCAUAGCAUAGUAAUGUCAGGCCUUGGUGUCUCCACAUGACAUGGGUCUCUAGUUGGGCUGGUCAUUGGACCGCCUUUCAGUCUCUUCUCCAUUUUUGUCUCUGCAGUUCUUUUAGACAGGAAUAACUGGGUCAGGAAUUUUGAUUGUGGGUUAUUAGCCCAGUCCCUCCACUUAAAUCCCUGUUUAUCUAUGUACUGGAGGUGGGUUCUUUGAGUUCCCUUUCCCCAGUGUUGGACAUUUUAGCUAAGAUCACCCCCUCAUUGGGUUCUGAAAGUCUCUCACCUCCUGGGUCUCUGGUACUUCCUAGAGGUUCCUCCACUUCCCAUCCUCCAAGGCUGCUUGUCUCCUUUCAUUCUCUUGGCCCUCUGGGCUUCUCUCCUGUCCCUUCACCCCCAUAUCUGAUCUAAUACCCCUUCUCCCCUCCCUCUCUCCCACUCAGGUCUCUCCCUCCUUCAGCCACCUGUGAUUAUUUUCUUCUCCCUUCUGAGUAGGAUUGAAGCCACCUCACUUGGACAUUUCUGCUUGUCACACUUCUUACAGUUGGGCAUUCUGUACUUUUUGGCUAAUAUCCACUUAUCAGUGAAUACAUACCAUGCAUGUUCUUUUGGGUCUAGUUACCUCACUCAGGAUAUUUUCUAGUUUCAUCCAUUUGCCUACAAAAUUCAUGAUGUUUAUUUAUUUAUUUUUUUGGUUUUUUCGAGACAGGGUUUCUCUGUAUAGUCCUGGUUGUCCUGAACUCACUUUGUAGACCAGGCUGGCCUCGAACUCAGAAAUCCGCCUGCCUCUGCCUCCCAAGUGCUGGGAUUAAAGGCGUGCGCCACCACACCUGGCUAUGAGUAGUGUUUCUUAAAAUGAACCUACUUAUAAAGAUUGAACUUCAAUGUGAUGGCAUUCCACAAAGAAUCUGGGAAUUUAUCCUAAUAUUUGCAAUACCCCACUAAUGCUGUUUGGAAUUAUAUUGUUAAAUGGAUGGAACUAGAAAAUGUUAUAUUUAGUGAGGGAACUCAGACCCAAAAAGUGAAUCACUUUCUUAUUUGUGGAUUUUAGCUUUGAAUCUGCAGAUGUGAGCAUAUAACCUGGAGUAGCUACAGAAACCAGGGAAGUGAAAAGGGACCAUGUAGGGCAAGGGAGACAGGGAUAGUAAGAUGUUGGAUGUUGUGAUGGCUAUUCUUGGUUGUCAGCUUGAUGGCAUACAUCUGGAAUUAGCUAAAACCCAAGCUGCUGAGUAUGUAUAACUGCGAGAGAUUUUUCUUGUUUUUUUUUCUUUUUUUUUUAAGAUUUAUUUAUUUAUUUAUUACAUGUAAGUACACUGUAGCUGUCUUCAGACCCUCCAGAAGAGGGCGUCAGAUCUCAUUACGGAUGGUUGUGAGCCACCAUGUGGUUGCUGGGAUUUGAACUUCGGACCUUCGGAAGAGCAGUCGGGUGCUCUUACCCGCUGAGCCAUCUCACCAGCCCGAGAGAUUUUUCUUGAUUGGAUCAUUUGAGGUAGGAGGCCACACCUUUAAAUCUGUGCUACAGGUUCUGGUGGCAGCCUAAAUAGAGGCCAUAGAAGGAAGAGCUUGUUCUUUGCCUACUUGUCCUCUCACUGGGAAGUUCACUUCUUCACUGGAAUCAGAGCCUGUUUCUUUGGUUCUGGCAUGUACUGAAGACCAGCUGAGACAUCCAGCCUCACAGACUGAACAGUUAUUAGAUUCCCCAGUUAGGAGUCAGUCAUUUUUGGAAUAGUCAGACUACAGCCUGGGUAGACAUUCCAAUAAAUUUGUCUCUGCAAGUGAGUGAGUGUGAGUGUGUGUGUGUGCAUUCAGUUCUGUUUCUUUUUAGAACCCUAAUACAGGUGCUUUGAAGGGGAAAUGGGAAAAACAGGGCAGGGAAACUUUUAAUUAAUUAGUGGGGGGCAAUAUAGAGUAAGAGGGAGGAAAGAGGAAUUAAAAAAAAAGCUACCAAGGAUAAUUGAACAAGGCACAGGGAAACAUUGUUUCUUUAAAAUACAUACAUAAAUGUACGUGUAUACGUACAUAUAGUUUAAGUAGAGUUUUUCUAUGUGGGGUGAUAAGGCUGUGUUGGGCCAGGGUGAUUAUCUUAAGAUUAGUAGUCAUCUUAUUACAAGGUCAAAAUAAAUUAAUUCCUAUUUUCUGUAAAACUUGGGUUUGACCAGGACUCCCUUCAUUUUAUGAUAUUUUCCAUGCUCUACACUCUAUACCCUGACCACUACUCUGAUAAAAUGUUCUGUAAAAUGAUUUUGAAAUGUUCAAGUUUCUACAUAACUAGAAUUCCUCUGGAAAUCCUCCAACCCUUGAAACUCCUCCGGCCUUGCAGUUUUGGGGCUAAUAUAAACCUCAUCUUUUGUGUUCAACACUAUUUUUCUCAAACCUCACUCUAGGGAAAUUGCCCUGUCUGGCAGAAAAUAAAGCUUGAGUAAUUUGUCC